GAUGAACGCUAGCUACAGGCUUAACACAUGCAAGUCGAGGGGCAGCAUGAACAUAGCUUGCUAUGUUUGAUGGCGACCGGCGCACGGGUGCGUAACACGUAUCCAAUCUGCCCGUUACUCGGGGAUAGCCUUCUGAAAGGAAGAUUAAUACCCGAUAGUAUCCAUUAGCGGCAUCGCCUAUGGAUUAAAGAUUUAUCGGUAACGGAUGAGGAUGCGUACGAUUAGCUGGUUGGCGGGGUAACGGCCUACCAAGGCGACGAUCAGUAGCCGACCUGAGAGGGUGAUCGGCCACAUUGGAACUGAGACACGGUCCAAACUCCUACGGGAGGCAGCAGUGGGGAAUAUUGCACAAUGGGCGAAAGCCUGAUGCAGCAACGCCGCGUGAAGGAAGAAGGUCUUCGGAUCGUAAACUUCUGUCCUUAGGGAAGAUAAUGACGGUACCUUUGGAGGAAGCCCCGGCUAACUACGUG
Molecule: ribosomal RNA, 470 nt
Filed under: uncultured bacterium
Lineage: Bacteria
Description: bacterial SSU rRNA
Rfam family: Bacterial small subunit ribosomal RNA
Source: RNAcentral